UACGGGGGGAGCAAGCGUUGUUCGGAUUUACUGGGCGUCAAGGGCGCGUAGGCGGCCAGCGCAAGUCAGUUGUGAAAUCUCCGAGCUCAACUCGGAAAGGUCAACUGAUACUGCGCGGCUAGAGUGCGGAAGGGGCAACUGGAAUUCUUGGUGUAGCGGUGAAAUGCGUAGAUAUCAAGAGGAACACCUGCGGCGAAGGCGGGUUGCUGGGCCGACACUGACGCUGAUGCGCGAAAGCCAGGGGAGCGAACGGG
RNAcentral lists this ribosomal RNA (254 nucleotides) under uncultured bacterium. Its description in RNAcentral is "partial 16S ribosomal RNA". It matches the Rfam family "Bacterial small subunit ribosomal RNA", at positions 524 to 776 of the family's 1533-position model. The record is from RNAcentral.